GACGAACGCUGGCGGCGUGCUUAACACAUGCAAGUCGAACGGAAAGGCCCUGCUUUUGUGGGGUGCUCGAGUGGCGAACGGGUGAGUAACACGUGAGUAACCUGCCCUUGACUUUGGGAUAACUUCAGGAAACUGGGGCUAAUACCGGAUAGGAGCUCCUGCUGCAUGGUGGGGGUUGGAAAGUUUCGGCGGUUGGGGAUGGACUCGCGGCUUAUCAGCUUGUUGGUGGGGUAGUGGCUUACCAAGGCUUUGACGGGUAGCCGGCCUGAGAGGGUGACCGGCCACAUUGGGACUGAGAUACGGCCCAGACUCCUACGGGAGGCAGCAGUGGGGAAUAUUGCACAAUGGGCGGAAGCCUGAUGCAGCAACGCCGCGUGCGGGAUGACGGCCUUCGGGUUGUAAACCGCUUUCGCCUGUGACGAAGCGUGAGUGACAGUAAUGGGUGAAGAAGCACCGGCUAACUACGUGCCAGCAGCCGCGGUGAUACGUAGGGUGCGAGCGUUGUCCGGAUUUAUUGGGCGUAAAGGGCUCGUAGGUGGUUGAUCGCGUCGGAAGUGUAAUCUUGGGGCUUAACCCUGAGCGUGCUUUCGAUACGGGUUGACUUGAGGAAGGUAGGGGAGAAUGGAAUUCCUGGUGGAGCGGUGGAAUGCGCAGAUAUCAGGAGGAACACCAGUGGCGAAGGCGGUUCUCUGGGCCUUUCCUGACGCUGAGGAGCGAAAGCGUGGGGAGCGAACAGGCUUAGAUACCCUGGUAGUCCACGCUGUAAACGGUGGGUACUAGGUGUGGGGUCCAUUCCACGGGUUCCGUGCCGUAGCUAACGCUUUAAGUACCCCGCCUGGGGAGUACGGCCGCAAGGCUAAAACUCAAAGGAAUUGACGGGGCCCCGCACAAGCGGCGGAGCAUGCGGAUUAAUUCGAUGCAACGCGUAGAACCUUACCUGGGUUUGACAUGGAUCGGGAGUGCUCAGAGAUGGGUGUGCCUCUUUUGGGGUCGGUUCACAGGUGGUGCAUGCCUGUCGUCAGCUCGUGUCGUGAGAUGUUGGGUUAAGUCCCGCAACGAGCGCAACCCUUGUUCACUGUUGCCAGCACGUUAUGGUGGGGACUCAGUGGAGACCGCCGGGGUCAACUCGGAGGAAGGUGGGGAUGACGUCAAGUCAUCAUGCCCCUUAUGUCCAGGGCUUCACGCAUGCUACAAUGGCUGGUACAGAGAGUGGCGAGCCUGUGAGGGUGAGCGAAUCUCGGAAAGCCGGUCUCAGUUCGGAUUGGGGUCUGCAACUCGACCUCAUGAAGUCGGAGUCGCUAGUAAUCGCAGAUCAGCAACGCUGCGGUGAAUACGUUCCCGGGGCU
This 1346-nucleotide ribosomal RNA is filed under the name uncultured bacterium. Its description in RNAcentral is "partial 16S ribosomal RNA". It matches the Rfam family "Bacterial small subunit ribosomal RNA", at positions 28 to 1381 of the family's 1533-position model. The record is from RNAcentral.